CCUACGGGAGGCUGCAGUGAGGAAUAUUGGUCAAUGGACGGAAGUCUGAACCAGCCAUGCCGCGUGCAGGAAGACGGCGCUAUGAGUUGUAAACUGCUUUUGUACAAGGGUAAACCUGAAUACGUGUAUUCAGCUGAAAGUACGGUACGAAUAAGGAUCGGCUAACUCCGUGCCAGCAGCCGCGGUAAUACGGAGGAUCCAAGCGUUAUCCGGAUUUAUUGGGUUUAAAGGGUGCGUAGGCGGAUUGUUAAGUUAGAGGUGAACUGUUGGAGCUUAACUCGGGAACUGCAUUUGAUACUGUUAGUCUAGAGUGUAGAAGCGGUAGGCGGAAUGUAUGGUGUAGCGGUGAAAUGCUUAGAGAUCAUGCAGAACACCGAUUGCGAAGGCAGCUUACCAGUCUAUAUCUGACGUUGAGGCACGAAAGCGUGGGGAGCAAACAGGAUUAGAUACCCCAGUAGUC
RNAcentral lists this ribosomal RNA (460 nucleotides) under uncultured bacterium. Its description in RNAcentral is "partial 16S ribosomal RNA". It matches the Rfam family "Bacterial small subunit ribosomal RNA", at positions 338 to 795 of the family's 1533-position model. The record is from RNAcentral.